UGGGGAAUUUUGGACAAUGGGGGAAACCCUGAUCCAGCCAUCCCGCGUGUGCGAUGAAGGCCUUCGGGUUGUAAAGCACUUUUUGCAGGAAAGAAACGUCAUGGGUUAAUACCCCGUGAAACUGACGGUACCUGCAGAAUAAGCACCGGCUAACCACGUGCCAGCAGCCGCGGAAAUACGUAGGGUGCAAGCGUUAAUCGGAAUUACUGGGCGUAAAGCGUGCGCAGGCGGUUCGGAAAGAAAGAGGUGAAAUCCCAGGGCUCAACUUUGGAACUGCAUUUUUAACUACCGGGCUAGAGUGUGUCAGAGGGAGGUGGAAUUCCGCGUGUAGCAGUGAAAUGCGUAGAUAUGCGGAGGAACACCGAUGGCGAAGGCGGCCUCCUGGGAUAACGCUGACGCUCAUGCACGAAAGCGUGGGGAGCAAACAGG
Molecule: ribosomal RNA, 429 nt
Filed under: Acidobacteriota bacterium
Lineage: Bacteria; Pseudomonadati; Acidobacteriota
Description: Acidobacteria bacterium partial 16S ribosomal RNA
Rfam family: Bacterial small subunit ribosomal RNA
Source: RNAcentral